RNAcentral lists this ribosomal RNA (383 nucleotides) under uncultured bacterium. RNAcentral describes it as "bacterial SSU rRNA". It matches the Rfam family "Bacterial small subunit ribosomal RNA", at positions 28 to 402 of the family's 1533-position model. The record is from RNAcentral.
GACAAACGCUGGCGGCGUGCUUAACACAUGCAAGUCGAACGGUCUACUUUAGGGUAGAUAGUGGCGGACGGGUGAGUAACACGUAGUUGACCUGCCUUUUGGUGGGGAAUAACUCCUCGAAAGAGGAGCUAAUACCGCAUGAUCUCUCUGUUGUUGGACAGAGAGGAAACCUUCUUCUUGUGAAAGCAAGAGGUAGGGCCGAAAGAGGGGACUGCGGCGGAUUAGCUAGAUGGAGGGGUAAAAGCCUACCAUGGCGACGAUCCGUAGCUGGUCUGAGAGGACGACCAGCCACACUGGGACUGAGACACGGCCCAGACUCCUACGGGAGGCAGCAGUGAGGAAUAUUCCCCAAUGGGCGAAAGCCUGAGGGAGCGACGCCGCGU